Molecule: ribosomal RNA, 472 nt
Filed under: uncultured organism
Description: partial 16S ribosomal RNA
Rfam family: Bacterial small subunit ribosomal RNA
Source: RNAcentral
UACACUCCUACGGGAGGCAGCAGUGGGGAAUUUUGGACAAUGGGCGAAAGCCUGAUCCAGCAAUGCCGCGUGCAGGAUGAAGGCCUUCGGGUUGUAAACUGCUUUUGUACGGAACGAAAAAGCUCCUUCUAAUACAGGGGGCCCAUGACGGUACCGUAAGAAUAAGCACCGGCUAACUACGUGCCAGCAGCCGCGGUAAUACGUAGGGUGCGAGCGUUAAUCGGAAUUACUGGGCGUAAAGCGUGCGCAGGCGGUUAUGUAAGACAGAUGUGAAAUCCCCGGGCUCAACCUGGGAACUGCAUUUGUGACUGCAUGGCUAGAGUACGGUAGAGGGGGAUGGAAUUCCGCGUGUAGCAGUGAAAUGCGUAGAUAUGCGGAGGAACACCGAUGGCGAAGGCAAUCCCCUGGACCUGUACUGACGCUCAUGCACGAAAGCGUGGGGAGCAAACAGGAUUAGAUACCCUUGUAGUCC